GAUGAACGCUAGCUACAGGCUUAACACAUGCAAGUCGAGGGGAAACGAUAGAGAAAGCUUGCUUUUUCUAGGCGUCGACCGGCGCACGGGUGAGCAACGCGUAUACAACCUGCCCAUCACUUGGGGAUAACCUUGCGAAAGUAAGACUAAUACCCAAUGAUACCUCUAGCAGACAUCUGAAGGGGAUUAAAGAUUUAUCGGUGGUGGCUGGGGAUGCGUCUGAUUAGCUUGUUGGCGAGGUAACGGCACACCAAGGCGACGAUCAGUAGGGGUUCCGAGAUGAAGGUCUCCCACAUUGGAACUGAGACACGGUCCAAACUCCUACGGGAGGCAGCAGUGAGGAAUAUUGGUCAAUGGACGAGAGUCUGAACCAUCCAAGUAGCGUGCAGGAUAACGGCCCUAUGGGUUGUAAACUGAUUUUAUAAGGGAAUAAAGUGGGAGUCGUGACUCCUUUUGCAUGUACCUUAUGAAUAAGGACCGGCUAAUUCCGUGCCAGCCGCCGCAGUAA
This 508-nucleotide ribosomal RNA is filed under the name uncultured bacterium. RNAcentral's name for it is "partial 16S ribosomal RNA". It matches the Rfam family "Bacterial small subunit ribosomal RNA", at positions 28 to 523 of the family's 1533-position model. The record is from RNAcentral.